Long non-coding RNA from Oryzias melastigma (Indian medaka), 624 nucleotides. RefSeq lists it as uncharacterized. The transcript has 5 exons. NCBI's taxonomy places the organism in Eukaryota, Metazoa, Chordata, Actinopteri, Beloniformes, Adrianichthyidae. The record is from RefSeq and is a predicted model, not a curated record.
UUAUUUCAUUUCUUUGAAUAAUAUCAUCACAACUAAAUGUAUUCUCCUUCUUCUUUGGGUCGUCAGCACUUUACAGCCUCCUGUGCACUCACAAAAAACAGUUACUAAAGCUUUCAAUCCAACAUGUGCAGAAGACGACUACAACCUCUCAGCAGUAUCUGUAUACCUGAGAGAAACUAAUCUACACCAGUCGUCAGGACUACAACAUGUCCUGAAAAAAAUAAUUGGCCACCACACCAAGACUGCAGACCAUUCAUCCAUUACUCCCUGAUGCCCGUACUUAACCAUGCCAGGCAAAGGCUAAUACUACUUUGGCUCUUUGUAGCUCCAACCAGGGCAGGCAGCCAGAAUUUAUGUGUUUUGGGAAGGAGUUCUUCAGCUAAAAUGGACAAGCUAUCAAUCCAGCAUGCCCAUCCUUGACCAUACCAGGCAAAGGCAAAUACUCCCUCAGCACUUUGCAGCUCCAACCAGUGCAGGCUGCAGGAGCUUCUGUGUUUGGGAGAGGAGUUCUUGAGUUAAAAAGAUCAAGAUUCUGCUUUUCUGCGCAUGCUGACCAGAAGCAAACUGAACAUCUACAACACAUGUUCCUUCUCUGACUCUGUGCCAAUCCUUCUCUGUUUUCAA